CCUACGAGAGGCAGCAGUGGGGAAUAUUGGGCAAUGGGCGCAAGCCUGACCCAGCAACGCCGCGUGAAGGAAGAAGGCUUUCGGGUUGUAAACUUCUUUUCUCAGGGACGAAGCAAGUGACGGUACCUGAGGAAUAAGCCACGGCUAACUACGUGCCAGCAGCCGCGGGAAGACGUAGGUGGCAAGCGUUAUCCGGAUUUACUGGGUGUAAAGGGCGUGUAGGCGGGAAAGCAAGUCAGAUAUGAAAACCAUGGGCUCAACCUGUGGCCUGCAUUUGAAACUGUUUUUCUUGAGUACUGGAGAGGCAGACGGAAUUCCUAGUGUAGCGGUUAAAUGCGUAGAUAUUAGGAGGAACACCAGUGGCGAAGGCGGUCUGCUGGACAGCAACUGACGCUGAGGCGCGAAAGCGUGGGGAGCAAACAGGAUUAGAUACCCGAGUAGUC
Molecule: ribosomal RNA, 443 nt
Filed under: uncultured bacterium
Lineage: Bacteria
Description: partial 16S ribosomal RNA
Rfam family: Bacterial small subunit ribosomal RNA
Source: RNAcentral